Long non-coding RNA from Sinocyclocheilus grahami, 1584 nucleotides. RefSeq lists it as uncharacterized. The record is from RefSeq and is a predicted model, not a curated record. The transcript is spliced from 3 exons. Lineage: Eukaryota; Metazoa; Chordata; Actinopteri; Cypriniformes; Cyprinidae.
AGUUAUGUUUGAAUGAAUGAACUUACAUUUUAUCGCGGUUGUAUGGGUCUGUAAUGGUGUGUUUCUCAGCUGAGCUGAAAUAUGCUGUGAAUCACUAGUAGCGGUAUAAGUUUAGCCGGUUAGUGUGUUAGCAUAGAAGACAACAACAACACAAACACGUUCAAACUCACUCAGAUACACACUGAAUUACAAUUACAGUUGCAAGAAGUUUCUGAACCCUUCGGACAGCCUGUCAGUCAUCACUCACUGUCCUCAAUGCAGGCGUUCGUGUGUUAUUAGUUUAGUUUAGCCGAGAAGAUCUUAAAGGAAGAUCAGACCAUAGUUUGGGAUGGUGACGGUCUCCGGCUCUCUCUCGGUUCUGCUGGACUCAGUGUUGUGUGCUGUGGGUCCGCUGGCCUGUCUCACCUCUCAGGUCUCAGAACUCAACGGCUGUCCACAUCAUGUGCUGUCAAACACUCUGGACAACAUCGCCUACGUGAUGCCGGGUCUGUGAAGGACUCGUGACCCGAUGGCGCUGCUAGCUGCUCCUCAGCGUCUGAUCAAACAUCCACUAAAGACUUUACGACUCGCGCGGUUUUGCACUGUAACUCACACACACUUCAACUUUUAACCUGCUUCUUAAACCUGCGCUCCAGUUUUAUCUGAUCCAAUGUUGAUUUUGUAUUUCUGUUGUUUUUCCUCAAUAAAAUCCAUUUUAGUAUGUUCUUUUAACUCUGCAGUGGGCCGUGGGUUUUGUAGUUGGAAUAUGUUGGGUUUGAGAAUAUGAAGUGGGCUUUCAGAAAUGAGUGAUUCACAGUGUGAAGCGUUCUCAGCGUUACAGACAUCAGCGAGAGUUUCUCUAGUCCUGAUGCAGAGAAUCUCACCGGGCGAGUUAACCUUAACUCUUCCUGAAUAAAAACACAUCUGGUUUAAUUUCACAGAUGCUCUGUUUAAAGAGACUCGACACAUCUGUGAGCUUGAGGUUAGACACUAGAUGUGUUUCUGCGCUCAAAAACUAGAUAAUCACCUCAUGGAGUCUCUGGAUGUGAAAGUAAGAAGUUGAGCUUUGUAGAAACAGCAAGCCCUCCUGUCCUGCUGAAAAGCCUGCUCUGCUCUCAGGUUUAGAGGGGUUUUGAGCACUUCUCAGCUGCCCAGGGCCACAAACCUUAACAACUGAACACCAUCGAACCAGUCUAGGCUGGGUGCAGAUUCGUGUGAGCGGCUGAUGCAGGUUUGUUGGGUCUGGGUGCGGCUGCAUCGCUGUGAUUCACACACAAGACGAGAGGUGUGACACAUCUCUGAUACGAGAGGACACACACAGAGACGCUUGCCACUCAGAUCAGCAGAGAGAGACGGACACGCAUGGAUUCCUCUGAACAGGGUAAGACUGUCAGAUCACCACACUCUUCCUCACAUCUUCAUGUUCUCCUGCAGCACAGCGAGGGCUUGUAAUUGACUCUAAAUUUCACAUUUCAUUAAAUUAGUAAUUUUAUUAAACAUGGCAUGUUCGUGACAGUGAGGAGAAACACACACACUAGACUAGUUUAAUUAUUUACUCUGUUGAAGUUAUAUUUUCUGUUACUGAUGUGUGUGUGUGUGAGAGAG